This 107-nucleotide small nuclear RNA is filed under the name Zalophus californianus (California sea lion). Lineage: Eukaryota; Metazoa; Chordata; Mammalia; Carnivora; Otariidae. RNAcentral also lists the same sequence under 2 other names. The record is from RNAcentral.
GUGCUCACUUCAGCAUCACACAUACUAAAAUUAGAACAAUAUAGAGAAGAUUAGCAUGGCCCCUGUGCAAGGAUGACAUGCAAAUUCAGGUAGUGUUCCAUAUUUUU